CUGCUGCCUUCCGUAGGAGUUUGGGCCGUGUCUCAGUCCCAAUGUGGCCGUUCACCCUCUCAGGCCGGCUACUGAUCGUCGCCUUGGUAGGCCGUUACCCCACCAACCAGCUAAUCAGACGCGGGCUCAUCUUAUACUACCGGAGUUUUUCACACAGAAACAUGCGUCCCCGUGCGCUUAUGCGGUAUUAGCAGUCAUUUCUAACUGUUAUCCCCCUGUAUAAGGCAGAUUACCCACGUGUUACUCACCCGUCCGCCG
This 258-nucleotide ribosomal RNA is filed under the name uncultured bacterium. RNAcentral describes it as "partial 16S ribosomal RNA". The record is from RNAcentral.